Non-coding RNA from Podarcis lilfordi (Lilford's wall lizard), 77 nucleotides. The record is from the annotation of a GenBank genome assembly. Lineage: Eukaryota; Metazoa; Chordata; Lepidosauria; Squamata; Lacertidae.
AUCUCUCCUGUGGCGCAAUGGGCCAGUGCAUCUGGCUGUUAACCAGAAGGCUGGUGGUUCAAGCCUACCCAAAGAUG